AAAUUACAAAAAUGGUCAUAACAGUCACUUAUCCGUUUGGUAAAGUAUCAAUUAUAAAAUCAAUAAUUCUAUUAAAAUUUAAUCAUCUGUUCUUUUCAGUUAAAGAUGAUAAUAUGCUAGGUGAAAUUAAUAGUAAAAUGUCCUUCGAUCAUAUAAGAUGAUAAUCCUGUCAAGAUAAAGCGGGAUCUUCUGUGUCAAGAAUACUAAAGUGGGGGCCUAAUAUAAUUGAUUUGAGAAACUUUAUAAAAUGUUUAAAACCUACUUGGGUACAUGUAGAAAAUUUUGUAUUUUGGGAUAGAAGAUUUUGAGAGUCAUUUACCUUCAC
RNAcentral lists this long non-coding RNA (325 nucleotides) under Mytilus galloprovincialis (Mediterranean mussel). Lineage: Eukaryota; Metazoa; Mollusca; Bivalvia; Mytilida; Mytilidae. The record is from RNAcentral.